GCAGAUCCUCUUCGGAGGUGACGCCUGUGGAACGAGCGGCGGACGGGUGAGUAACACGUGGGCAACCUGCCUGUAAGAUUGGGAUAACCCCGGGAAACCGGGGCUAAUACCGGAUAAUACUUUUCGUUGCAUAACGAGAAGUUGAAAGGCGGCUUUUAGCUGUCACUUACAGAUGGGCCCGCGGCGCAUUAGCUAGUUGGUAAGGUAACGGCUUACCAAGGCGACGAUGCGUAGCCGACCUGAGAGGGUGAUCGGCCACACUGGGACUGAGACACGGCCCAGACUCCUACGGGAGGCAGCAGUAGGGAAUCUUCCGCAAUGGACGAAAGUCUGACGGAGCAACGCCGCGUGAGUGAUGAAGGUUUUCGGAUCGUAAAACUCUGUUGUCAGGGAAGAACAAGUGCCGUUCAAAUAGGGCGGCACCUUGACGGUACCUGACCAGAAAGCCCCGGCUAACUACGUGCCAGCAGCCGCGGUAAUACGUAGGGGGCAAGCGUUGUCCGGAAUUAUUGGGCGUAAAGCGCGCGCAGGCGGUCCUUUAAGUCUGAUGUGAAAGCCCACGGCUUAACCGUGGAGGGCCAUUGGAAACUGGAGGACUUGAGUACAGAAGAGGAGAGUGGAAUUCCACGUGUAGCGGUGAAAUGCGUAGAGAUGUGGAGGAACACCAGUGGCGAAGGCGACUCUCUGGUCUGUAACUGACGCUGAGGUGCGAAAGCGUGGGGAGCGAACAGGAUUAGAUACCCUGGUAGUCCACGCCGUAAACGAUGAGUGCUAGGUGUUAGGGGGUUUCCGCCCCUUAGUGCUGAAGUUAACGCAUUAAGCACUCCGCCUGGGGAGUACGGCCGCAAGGCUGAAACUCAAAAGAAUUGACGGGGGCCCGCACAAGCGGUGGAGCAUGUGGUUUAAUUCGAAGCAACGCGAAAAACCUUACCAGGUCUUGACAUCCUCUGCCAAUCCUAAAAAUAGGAUGUUCCCUUCGGGG
RNAcentral lists this ribosomal RNA (982 nucleotides) under Virgibacillus salarius. RNAcentral describes it as "bacterial SSU rRNA". It matches the Rfam family "Bacterial small subunit ribosomal RNA", at positions 69 to 1025 of the family's 1533-position model. Lineage: Bacteria; Bacillati; Bacillota; Bacilli; Caryophanales; Bacillaceae. The record is from RNAcentral.